Molecule: long non-coding RNA, 1108 nt
Organism: Helianthus annuus (common sunflower)
Lineage: Eukaryota; Viridiplantae; Streptophyta; Magnoliopsida; Asterales; Asteraceae
Exons: 2
Source: RefSeq, a predicted model, not a curated record
CCCAAAUCAUCAUUAAUUGUAACUGCAAUUUGGAAGAAUCCUGGCUGUUUAAAGUCCCUAACUUUUGAUCUGAGCCAUUGAAAGUCCUUAAAAUGGCAGUUUUACAAUCUCUCUCCUUAAAUCAUGUGGUUUCAGGCGGUUUCCGUUCACCCCACCCACGUUUCCCGCUUUCUCCUCCCCAACCGCCCCAGGUCACCCACUAUAAAUCCUCCCCUACCCAGCAUCAUCAAGGCCUCGCUCUUUCCUAUUUUGCAUCGGUUAUCAAGGGUUUCUCUAUUUCUCUAGAUCUCCUUCCACAAGUCGCUGGCUCGCUGCGGCUCUCUAUGCCAUACAUACACAAAUCAACCUUCUCUGAUCUCUCUAUGCCAUACAAUCAAAGAUGAUGAUUAUGAAGACAAAGAGGAAGGAGUCGAGGAGUUAAUUCCGUCGGAGACAACGUCGCCUAGGGUUUCAAGUUCGAUCGUACGGACGAUAAUGGAUAAAAAAGUGAGUUGAAUAGAGGUGAGAUCAAUGUUUGCCCUCUGAAGCUUUGUCUGCUGGUGGAGAUCUUUGAUUUUGGAGUUCCUUCCUAUAAAAGAGAUGCUUGAAGAUUCUAAAGAUGAACGUGAAAUAUCUUCGGACUGAAGAUUAUAUGAGGCCAAUAGUUCAAGAAACCAUACCGAGGCGGGAUUGUGAAUGCUAUAAUUGCGAUAAUACUUUGGAAGGAGUUGUUGCUAAUAGAGAGGAGUUGAGAACAAACAAGAUUAAUGUCAAGUCUCAGAUAAAGGAUUCAGAGGAGAUGCAAGAGUUAGUGAAUUCGUAUGUGGAUCAACUGGAGAAAGGUAAGCAGGCUAGAAAGGUAGCAAAGAGACGAGAAAAAACAAAACGUGCAAGUACUCCUCGGUACAUAAUACAAAGAACAAGGUAAUGAAGAAAUGGAUGAGGAGGGUCGAUCGCAGAACCAUGAAGAAAAUAAUUUCGAUUAGAUGUGGCCUGCCGGAUGGGUUUACAGAUUAUGAAAAAGAUCAUUAUGAUACGGAUGCAGUUACGUUAUUUCACAUUUGAAUGUCUUGAAAUUGAUCUUUACACAUUUUGCAGUUGAAACUAGACUUCUUAGCUUUUUUCUUCA